AGCAAACAGAAGCCAGUUGCAUUUCUGAGAAGCGAUCCUGUAACGUCUGCUGAACCAUUUGGAGCUGCAAAUCAGAGAGGAGGAGGUUUGCACAUCACACGGAGCCACACAAGUUUGUUUAGUGACAAGCAAAACAAUGAGCAUCUCUGUAGGCUGGACUUGACCAGUAAAGUUUUCUGAGUCAUCCCUAAUCUAGUUAGCUAAGCUUCGUGUCCCUCGGACUUCUGGGAAGAGUAUGGAAGGAAGCCCUCGGUCAGCUGAACUUGUAAAAAGGCAUCAUGGUUUUGUUUUUUUAUUCCGGUCAAAGUCAAAUUCCCAGGUUUACAUCACUAACCGUGGCUAACCAGGAACAGACCACAAGGCAUGCUUGCUUGUAAACACGGUUAAUGGCUCAGCCGUAUUGUCUUCCUCUGUGUAACCAAGUCUUAAUUUCUCUGGGAUGCCCUAUAAAGUAUUACUGGUACCCCCAUCUUGCAGGGGUUAGUGAAGGAUAAAUCAAACAAACAUACGCAAAAAGCAUUCAAAUUAACGCUCAGCAUUACCAAUCCGUCAAAUGAGACUCGAACGAUGCGUUUAGGACGCUCCAAACUCUACUUCCCAUUUGAGGCACAGACACUGUAAUGUUAGCCAGGUUCAGUUUUAAAAAAGGCUGGUUAUUAUAACAAUUAUCGCCGCUUUGGUUUUGCAUCGCCUCUUUCGAAGGACCGAGCUGCAUUUUCUACCCCUUGUAAAAGCAGAACUCUGGCUUAAAUCCCAAAUUUGCAUUUCUUUGGCAGAAGUCGUUUCGCGGUAGGAAUACGAUUUUAAAUAUCGUUGCUGAUGAAACGCGCUCUAUCCCCGUUUUUAAAAUAGGUUCUGCAAAACCAAAAGCCCCGAUUGAAUCUGGCUUUUGACUGACCUCACGGAAGGCAAGGAUCCUCCUCAGAUCCCAGCUUCUAUAUCAACUUUUUUUUCAUGGCCCCAUAAUCCCUUACAGGAUGGAAUCUGGGCAGCUGAACGUAGCUGAGUGUUUAGUGGCCGGAUGCUCUUCCUGUCACCAACGCUGAGUUUUUUUUGUUCAGCAGAUAUCUUCUCACAGUGCCCAGAGAAAAGAAAUAUCUGCCUCUAACCUAGGAUCAAACUCACAGCUUCUAUAUCAACAUGGUAUGCUUUAUUGGAAGUUGACAAGUGCAAUCAUUAAAUAUACUGGUAUUUUUUACCAUUUUCCUCCCAAUUCAUCGCCCAGAACAUGCACAAGAACAUAUGCAUCUUAUUACACAGAUCGUAUACCUGCCUCCAAAAUGUGAGGAAUUUCUUCUUUUUUUUUAAAUAACUUUUGCUUUGGUGAAUUCAUCCUUGCCCUUCCCCCACCCGCUUUAACCGGGAACUGCAGAGGACAGAGUUUUGACUUCAAUAUAUCUUCAUUUUCCAAGGCAACUGACAAUAAGCAGCACCAGCCGAUGCCCGAAGAGCUGUAUAGGUGCAAAAUCGAAUCCACGUAGUGUCAAAAAAUAAAAUAAAAUAAAAAACUUCUUUUAAAAAAAAAAACCAUAACGGAAAAAAAAAAAUCGCUAUCCAAACUGGUUCAGUUCAUACUUUUUAAAUUCACUCUGUACAACUGAAUGGAGUAGUUACAGUUCCUAUUUUACAAAGUAAUUAUACACUAAAUACACAAAUAUACAUUAAGCAGACAAACCUUCAUCAGACCAUCCUAUGUCACAGCAUUUUUUUUUUUUUAAUAUCUACCGGUUCCUCUCCUAGAAAUAUUUUAAUUUUUUUUUUUAAAUUUUCUCCCACACCUUCCUUGGCUAUAGAAAAUGAGUGCGCAUCUGCUUUUU
This is a non-coding RNA of Pseudonaja textilis, 1817 nucleotides long. Lineage: Eukaryota; Metazoa; Chordata; Lepidosauria; Squamata; Elapidae. The record is from RefSeq and is a predicted model, not a curated record.